GCAACUCGCCUACACGAAGUCGGAAUCGCUAGUAAUCGCGGAUCAGCAUGCCGCGGUGAAUACGUUCCCGGGCCUUGUACACACCGCCGUCACACCAUGGGAGUUUGUAACGCCCAAAGUCGGUGGCCUAACCUUUAUGGAGGGAGCCGCCUAAGGCGGGACAGAUGACUGGGGUGAAGUCGUAACAAGGUACC
This 194-nucleotide ribosomal RNA is filed under the name uncultured bacterium. Its description in RNAcentral is "partial 16S ribosomal RNA". It matches the Rfam family "Bacterial small subunit ribosomal RNA", at positions 1307 to 1500 of the family's 1533-position model. The record is from RNAcentral.